GAGUUUGAUCUUGGCUCAGAUUGAACGCUGGCGGCAUGCCUUACACAUGCAAGUCGAACGACAGCACGGGAGCUUGCUCCUGGUGGCGAGUGGCGAACGGGUGAGUAAUGCAUCGGAACGUAUCCUGGAGUGGGGGAUAACGUAGCGAAAGUUACGCUAAUACCGCAUAUUCUGUGAGCAGGAAAGCGGGGGACCUUCGGGCCUCGCGCUCUUGGAGCGGCCGAUGUCGGAUUAGCUAGUUGGUGAGGUAAAGGCUCACCAAGGCGACGAUCCGUAGCAGGUCUGAGAGGAUGAUCUGCCACACUGGAACUGAGACACGGUCCAGACUCCUACGGGAGGCAGCAGUGGGGAAUUUUGGACAAUGGGGGCAACCCUGAUCCAGCCAUGCCGCGUGAGUGAAGAAGGCCU
RNAcentral lists this ribosomal RNA (408 nucleotides) under bacterium enrichment culture clone ALO1_GLFRUDD03G6AWN. RNAcentral describes it as "bacterial SSU rRNA". It matches the Rfam family "Bacterial small subunit ribosomal RNA", at positions 9 to 417 of the family's 1533-position model. The record is from RNAcentral.